CAGUCGCCGCGGUAAUACGAAGGGUGCAAGCGUUAAUCGGAAUUACUGGGCGUAAAGCGUGCGUAGGCGGUGAGUUAAGUCUGCUGUGAAAUCCCCGGGCUCAACCUGGGAAUGGCAGUGGAUACUGGCUCGCUAGAGUGUGUCAGAGGAUGGUGGAAUUCCCGGUGUAGCGGUGAAAUGCGUAGAGAUCGGGAGGAACAUCAGUGGCGAAGGCGGCCAUCUGGGACAACACUGACGCUGAGGCACGAAAGCGUGGGGAGUAAACAGGAUUAGAUACCCCAGUAGUCCCUGUCUCUUAUAC
This 301-nucleotide ribosomal RNA is filed under the name uncultured bacterium. Its description in RNAcentral is "partial 16S ribosomal RNA". It matches the Rfam family "Bacterial small subunit ribosomal RNA", at positions 509 to 807 of the family's 1533-position model. The record is from RNAcentral.